Molecule: ribosomal RNA, 433 nt
Filed under: uncultured bacterium
Lineage: Bacteria
Description: partial 16S ribosomal RNA
Rfam family: Bacterial small subunit ribosomal RNA
Source: RNAcentral
AACGAACGCUGGCGGCAUGCCUAACACAUGCAAGUCGAACGAGACCUUCGGGUCUAGUGGCGCACGGGUGCGUCACGCGUGGGAACCUGCCCUUAGGUUCGGAAUAACUCCCCGAAAGGGGUGCUAAUACCGGAUAAUGUCUUCGGACCAAAGAUUUAUCGCCUUUGGAUGGGCCCGCGUUGGAUUCGCUAGUUGGUAGGGUAAAAGCCUACCAAGGCGACGAUCCGUAGCUGGUCUGAGAGGAUGAUUAGCCACACUGGAACUGAGACACGGCCCAGAAUCCUACGGGAGGCAGCAGUGGGGAAUAUAGGACAAGGGGCGAAGGCAUGAUCAAGCAAUGCCGGGUGAGUUAUGAAGGCCUUAGGGUUGUAAAGCUCUUUUACCCGGGAUGAUAAUGACAGUACCGGGAGAAUAAGCCCCGGCUAACUCCGUG